UUAUUUAUUGAUUUAAUUACAGAUCCAGAUGACUUUUUCUUGAAAAUUCGACGUGGAAUCGAUUAUCCAGUUGAUCCAGAUGACAUUUUCUUGAAAAUUCGUAAGUAUAAGAGGAAUUCUAAUAUUGCAUG
Long non-coding RNA from Penaeus monodon (black tiger shrimp), 131 nucleotides. RefSeq lists it as uncharacterized. Lineage: Eukaryota; Metazoa; Arthropoda; Malacostraca; Decapoda; Penaeidae. The transcript is spliced from 3 exons. The record is from RefSeq and is a predicted model, not a curated record.